GCGAGAGUGGCGAAAUUGGCAGACGCGCCAGACUUAGGAUCUGGUGGAUUUUUCCGUGGGGGUUCGAGUCCCCCUUCUCGCA
RNAcentral lists this transfer RNA (82 nucleotides) under Ignavibacteriales bacterium. RNAcentral describes it as "tRNA-Leu". It matches the Rfam family "tRNA". From Rfam's summary of the family: Transfer RNA (tRNA) molecules are approximately 80 nucleotides in length. RNAcentral also lists the same sequence under 2 other names. The record is from RNAcentral. Lineage: Bacteria; Pseudomonadati; Ignavibacteriota; Ignavibacteria; Ignavibacteriales.